This 310-nucleotide long non-coding RNA is filed under the name Vulpes vulpes (red fox). RNAcentral describes it as "lncRNA (ENSVVUG00000020866.1)". Lineage: Eukaryota; Metazoa; Chordata; Mammalia; Carnivora; Canidae. The record is from RNAcentral.
GAAUUCUAGAAGGUCCUACUGCAGUGCAAGAGGCAUUACUGCAGGUAUAAAAUCAAAGGCCCUUUCCUCAAGAGUAAUUCCAGCUGGAAAAGGACAGCCUUCCUCAAUAUCUCCUACCCAGAGGUUCCACCCUGUGCUUCCCAUGCCCUGUCCAUGCCCGGCCUGCCCAAAGCACAGCCACCCCAGACCUCUGCUGGAUUAUCUGUGAGGCCCAUAUAAGGUGCCACUGGCAGAAAUUGGGAGACAUGGCAAACUUCCUUGGGAACCUCUGAGAGAGAAGAGCUGCAAAUAAAGGUAGUAAAAAAGUUCA